UUCCACAGCCAUAUCACUCCGCAGCCCAAGACUGGUUGCCCACUGAAGCUAAGCAGGGUUGAGCCUGGUCAGUACCUGGAUGGGAGACCUCCUGGGAAAACUAGGUUGCUGCUGGAAG
RNAcentral lists this ribosomal RNA (118 nucleotides) under Sinocyclocheilus rhinocerous. The record is from RNAcentral. Lineage: Eukaryota; Metazoa; Chordata; Actinopteri; Cypriniformes; Cyprinidae.